CAGAUUAUAUUUUAAAAUUCCAUUGCUAGGUUACCAGCUUCAAAUUAUAUGCUAGAUGAUUUGUACAAUUUGUUAUAACAGUUCAUUGUAUAUUUUUUAUUUGUGAAAUUUGUUUGUUGCACGUUUUGAUCUAUAUGGUCAUUUUUGCUGCUAUAUAUAUGUGUUAUGCAUGAAGCUGCAACCUUUGACAUAUUCUGAGUUUCUGACUAACAGCAAGGGAAUUAUGUUGUUAUUUCUUUAAAAACAAGUGGUCAUGUUCCUAGAAAAUUGGAUCUGUUCUUAUAUCUUUCAAUCAUCUUUUGAUCGCAACAAGAAGGUGGAUUUUAUUGAGCAGUUCAAUGAAAAGCUUCUUGUCAAGCAGGAGAAUGAAAACCUACAGAUCCUAGACGUAUGUAUAUGUUUUCAUCUUUUUGAAGUGACAUUGCAGAAGAUUCUAAAUGUUGACAGUUGUGGUGACCAGGUUCGGAAUUUUGAGGUAACAGAAGUCAGCAGAACAGAAAUUAGGACUCCAUCAGCAUUUAAUCUUAUACAUGAAAAGCAAUAAUUCCUAAUGUUCAGGAAUUAACAGUGGUGUCUGGAAUUGCCAUGGAGAGCUUGUGAUUUUAUUUGUGGAUCACCUUUUGUGGCAUCCUGAUUGCAACACUAACUACAUAUGUCACAAGUGGCCAGGAUCUUAUCAUAUCUUAUUGCAAACCUGCUCGUGGUGACUUGCUGCU
This 716-nucleotide long non-coding RNA is filed under the name Daucus carota (carrot). RNAcentral's name for it is "long non-coding RNA (DCAR_LNC002950)". The record is from RNAcentral. Lineage: Eukaryota; Viridiplantae; Streptophyta; Magnoliopsida; Apiales; Apiaceae.